AGAGUUUGAUCAUGGCUCAGGAUGAACGCUAGCGGCAGGCUUAAUACAUGCAAGUCGAACGGUAAGCGGGUAGCAAUACCUGCCUAGAGUGGCGCACGGGUGCGUAACGCGUAUGCAACCUACCUUUAACUGGGGGAUAGCCCGGAGAAAUUCGGAUUAAUACCCCAUAGUAACACUGAUGGGCAUCUGUUGGUGUUUAAAGCUUUUUUGCGGUUAGAGAUGGGCAUGCGUUCCAUUAGCUAGUUGGUGUGGUAAUGGCAGACCAAGGCUACGAUGGAUAGGGGACCUGAGAGGGCGAUCCCCCACACUGGUACUGAGACACGGACCAGACUCCUACGGGAGGCAGCAGUAAGGAAUAUUGGGCAAUGGACGCAAGUCUGACCCAGCCAUGCCGCGUGCAGGAAGACGGCCUUAUGGGUUGUAAACUGCUUUUGUCAGGGAAUAAAAGCCUGUACGGGAUACGGGUUUGCAGGUACCUGAAGAAUAAGCAUCGGCUAACUCCGUGCCAGCAGCCGCGGUAAUACGGAGGAUGCGAGCGUUAUCCGGAUUCAUUGGGUUUAAAGGGUGCGCAGGCGGGCGAAUAAGUCAGGGGUGAAAUUCCACGGCUCAACUGUGGGUCUGCCUUUGAUACUGUUUGUCUUGAGUUUAGUUGAGGUGGGCGGAAUGUAGCAUGUAGCGGUGAAAUGCAUAGAUAUGCUACAGAACACCGAUAGCGGAGGCAGCUCACCAAGCUAUAACUGAC
Molecule: ribosomal RNA, 742 nt
Filed under: uncultured bacterium
Lineage: Bacteria
Description: bacterial SSU rRNA
Rfam family: Bacterial small subunit ribosomal RNA
Source: RNAcentral